Long non-coding RNA from Ictalurus punctatus (channel catfish), 1497 nucleotides. RefSeq lists it as uncharacterized. Lineage: Eukaryota; Metazoa; Chordata; Actinopteri; Siluriformes; Ictaluridae. The transcript is spliced from 2 exons. The record is from RefSeq and is a predicted model, not a curated record.
CUCUCUCUCUCAGUCUCUCUCUCUGUCUCUCUCACUCUCUCUCAUGCAUGGAAUUUUUAAAGGGCAGAACAGAGCACAGAGGGAGGACCGAAGGCGGAAACAUAACUCCACUGGGAUUCAGGAAUUUGUGCUGCACUGAAAAGUGCUCCUGAAGACAUUCCCAAGCAGUAAAAGCUGGAUUAGCCGUUAGCAUCUCUGAUACGUCAUCAACUCCAGUCCUGGAGAACCCACUGUCCUUCACAUAUCAGGGGAACAGGUUUGGGAACCUGUACACUAGAGAUACAUUAUAUGGCCAAAAGUAUGUGCACCCCUGACCAUCACACCCAUAUGUGGUUCUUCCACAAACUGUUACCACAGAACUGAAAGCACACAGUUGUAUCGAAUGUCUUUGUGUGCUGUAGCAUUACAACUUUCCUUCACUGGAACUUCAUAGGUCCAAACCUGUUCCAGCAUGACAGUGCACCUGUGCACAAAGCGAUCUCCAUGAAGACGCGGUGUGUGAAGGUUGGAAGAAGGUGGAAGAACUCGAGUGUCCCGUACAGAGUCCUGUCCUCAACCCCACUGAACACCUUUGGGAUGAACUGGAACUGAAGCCUCCUCACAUCAACAUCAGCGCCUGACCUCGACCUCACUGCCACAUUCGCUUCAAGUGUAUACUGAUUUUUACAUGUUCAGGUUCGUUACAGACGUCAGAAAUUUCUCUAUCUGUCAAUUUUUUUUAAUUGAGCCUAAGAGCUGGAAAUGCGUCAGGCAGUGCUUAAAUGUACAGUGGGACAAAAAUUACAUAAACCAAGAUGAGAAUGGUUUCUGCUUCAGUUAUGUUUAAAGCACUAUACACUUCUUAAAAUUAAUACAACAAUAGCCUAACAGCAAUGAUGAAUCAGACAGGAAUCAACAAUAUCACAAAUAUAUAUAUAUAUAUAUAUAUAAACAUGGAUGGGUUGGAAGAGUGCCAAUACUUUGUGCACAGCAACGGAUAGGUUACAGUCUUUGUCAGUAGUUGUGAUAUAGUUGUUAAGUGUAUCCUUUAAAAUGGCUGCUAAGUGUAUAUACACAGGAACCCGAUAUUUCUCCUCUCCUGCUGAUAGAGUUACACUAAACGUGUGUAAACCUCCAAAAUGUUUCAGUGAAUUUAGUUACAAAUUCAUGAUUCAGGAGUUUAAAUGAACGUGAGAUGAUCCAUUAAUGAAAUCCGAGCUCGGAUCUUAUUUCGGGUUCCUAUUACAACUGAAAAAUGUCACGUUACGUCAUCCCAUCUGAAAAAAAAACAAUAUAAACACUCAUAGAAUUUGUAAUGGUUCUAAUGUUCCUAAUGAGAAUUGUAUUGGUUUUAAUGGAAACUGUAAUGGUCUCUACUACUGGUAAUUUGUUGCCUUCUAAUGGUGGUAUGUUAUGUCUAAUGGAUACCAUUAAGGAUCAGUGAUGUAAUGGUAAUGUUUUUAAUGGUUAGCUCGUGGUUUGUGAUGGUAUUUGUCGUGGAAACCAUUAGAAUUUCUG